RNAcentral lists this ribosomal RNA (41 nucleotides) under Nicoteba betonica. RNAcentral's name for it is "Justicia betonica partial 18S ribosomal RNA". The record is from RNAcentral. Lineage: Eukaryota; Viridiplantae; Streptophyta; Magnoliopsida; Lamiales; Acanthaceae. RNAcentral also lists the same sequence under 1 other name.
CUAACAAGGUUUCCGUAGGUGAACCUGCGGAAGGAUCAUUG